This is a non-coding RNA of Micropterus dolomieu (smallmouth bass), 312 nucleotides long. The record is from the annotation of a RefSeq genome assembly. NCBI's taxonomy places the organism in Eukaryota, Metazoa, Chordata, Actinopteri, Centrarchiformes, Centrarchidae.
CUGGCCAACAAGGGCUUCCCCUCAGACUGGAGUCUGGCCUGGAAGGUGGACGGCAGCAGCAGCAGCAGCAGCAGCUGGGAGGAGAGCAGGAGCCCCGGGGUGCUGGAGAAGGACGGCCGCUACAGCUGGAGCAGCACCCUGAGGCUCCCUGCAGACCAGUGGAGGAAGGUGGGCUCUGUGACCUGUGAGGCCACCCAGGGCUCCCAGGCUCUGGUCUCAGAGACACUGAGGAGAGACCAGUGUUCCCAGUCCUGACCUGACUCACUGGGACUCUGCUACUGGUGUUACUGGUCUCUCAUUACACAUUUCAAC